UUGGCUUCGUGUGAAAGGUCUCGAGCUAGGAAUUCCCGUAUCAUCCUCUCCAUCUUGAAGGGAAUUUGUCCUCAAAUUCGGAUCAUUGCCAUCCUCCACCGUUUCCACCCGAGAGAGAUCACACACGUUGAAAGUGUUGUGCACUUGAUAUUCUGGGGGUAGAUCAAUCUUGUAGGCAUUGUCGUUGAUCCUUUCUAAUACUUAGAAUGGGCCAUCACCCCGUGGCAUCAACUUAGCAUUCCUUUGAGACGGG
RNAcentral lists this long non-coding RNA (253 nucleotides) under Capsicum annuum. RNAcentral's name for it is "long non-coding RNA (CANN_LNC009966)". Lineage: Eukaryota; Viridiplantae; Streptophyta; Magnoliopsida; Solanales; Solanaceae. The record is from RNAcentral.